This 907-nucleotide ribosomal RNA is filed under the name Neophaeomoniella zymoides. Its description in RNAcentral is "LSU rRNA". It matches the Rfam family "Eukaryotic large subunit ribosomal RNA", at positions 38 to 964 of the family's 3401-position model. The record is from RNAcentral. Lineage: Eukaryota; Fungi; Ascomycota; Eurotiomycetes; Phaeomoniellales; Phaeomoniellaceae.
GCAUAUCAAUAAGCGGAGGAAAAGAAACCAACAGGGAUUACCUUAGUAACGGCGAGUGAAGCGGUAAUAGCUCAAAUUUGAAAUCUGGCUCUAGGGUCCGAGUUGUAAUUUGUAGAGGAUGUUUCGGGUGCGCCCGCAGUUUAAGUUCCUUGGAACAGGACGUCAUAGAGGGUGAGAAUCCCGUCUUGAACUGUACGGCAAGUCCAUGUGAAACUCCUUCGACGAGUCGAGUUGUUUGGGAAUGCAGCUCAAAAUGGGAGGUAAAUUUCUUCUAAAGCUAAAUAUUGGCCAGAGACCGAUAGCGCACAAGUAGAGUGAUCGAAAGAUGAAAAGCACUUUGAAAAGAGAGUUAAACAGUAUGUGAAAUUGUUAAAAGGGAAGCGUUUGCAACCAGACUUGUUUCUAACAGUUCUACCGCAGUUCUCUGUGGCUUAUUCUGUUAGUCCAGGCCAGCAUCAGUUUGGGUGGCUCGUUAAAGACUUUGGGAAUGUAUCUACUCCUUCGGGUGUAGACUUAUAGCCCAUUGUGUAAUAGGGUCUACCUGGACUGAGGUACGCGCAUUGCUCGGAUGCUGGCGUAAUGGUUGUAAACGACCCGUCUUGAAACACGGACCAAGGAGUCUAACAUCUAUGCGAGUGUUAGGGUGUCAAACCCUUACGCGUAAUGAAAGUGAACGGAGGUAGGAACCCGCAAGGGUGCACUAUCGACCGAUCCUGAUGUCUUCGGAUGGAUUUGAGUAAGAGCAUAGCUGUUGGGACCCGAAAGAUGGUGAACUAUGCCUGAAUAGGGUGAAGCCAGAGGAAACUCUGGUGGAGGCUCGCAGCGGUUCUGACGUGCAAAUCGAUCGUCAAAUUUGGGUAUAGGGGCGAAAGACUAAUCGAACCAUCUGGUAGCUGGUUCCUGCCGA